RNAcentral lists this long non-coding RNA (273 nucleotides) under Gossypium barbadense (sea-island cotton). Its description in RNAcentral is "long non-coding RNA (GBAR_LNC001648)". Lineage: Eukaryota; Viridiplantae; Streptophyta; Magnoliopsida; Malvales; Malvaceae. The record is from RNAcentral.
GUUGAUUAAUUAGUGUCUUAGUGUCGAAAAUUUGAAAACUUGAAAGAAUUUAAAAUACGAUCCCUCUUUGUAAAGAAAAUGCUCAAAUGUUAAGGACCUUCUCGUCUCACAAUAUAAAAUCUCACAUCCAGUAAGUUAGGACAUGACAUCUUGAAUUUUCGAGAGCGAGCUUGCCUUUUAUAUAAAAAUUCGUGUAUUUCAAAAGGUUAUUCAGUUAGUUAAGGUGAACGAGGAAAAUCGAAAUCCAGUAAGUUAGGGCACGUUUCCUCAAAU